RNAcentral lists this ribosomal RNA (496 nucleotides) under uncultured bacterium. Its description in RNAcentral is "bacterial SSU rRNA". It matches the Rfam family "Bacterial small subunit ribosomal RNA", at positions 8 to 523 of the family's 1533-position model. The record is from RNAcentral.
AGAGUUUGAUCCUGGCUCAGAGUGAACGCUGGCGGCGUGCUUAACACAUGCAAGUCGAACGGAUCAAAGUAGCUUGCUACUUUGGUUAGUGGCGCACGGGUGAGUAAUGUAUAGCUAACCUGCCCUUUAGUGGGGGACAACAGUUGGAAACGACUGCUAAUACCCCAUACUCCUUCUUGCCAAAAGGUGAGUUGGGAAAGAUUUAUUGCUAAAGGAUGGGGCUUUAUUGUAUCAGCUAGUUGGUGAGGUAAUGGCUCACCAAGGCUAUGACGCAUACCUGGUCUGAGAGGAUGAUCAGGCACACUGGAACUGAGACACGGUCCAGACUCCUACGGGAGGCAGCAGUGGGGAAUAUUGCACAAUGGAGGAAACUCUGAUGCAGCAACGCCGCGUGGAGGAUGACGCAUUUCGGUGUGUAAACUCCUUUUAUAAGGGAAGAUAAUGACGGUACCUUAUGAAUAAGCACCGGCUAACUCCGUGCCAGCAGCCGCGGUAA